CUAAGGUUUCCAGAGGAAGGCUCGUCCGCUCUGGGUUAGUCGGGUCCUAAGCUGAGGCCGACAGGCGUAGGCGAUGGAUAACAGGUUGAUAUUCCUGUACCACCUAUAAUCGUUUUAAUCGAUGGGGGGACGCAGUAGGAUAGGCGAAGCGUGCGAUUGGAUUGCACGUCUAAGCAGUAAGGCUGAGUAUUAGGCAAAUCCGGUACUCAUUAAGGCUGAGCUGUGAUGGGGAGAAGACAUUGUGUCUUCGAGUCGUUGAUUUCACACUGCCGAGAAAAGCCUCUAGAUAGAAAAUAGGUGCCCGUACCGCAAACCGACACAGGUAGUCAAGAUGAGAAUUCUAAGGUGAGCGAGCGAACUCUCGUUAAGGAACUCGGCAAAAUGACCCCGUAACUUCGGGAGAAGGGGUGCUCUUUAGGGUUAACGCCCAGAAGAGCCGCAGUGAAUAGGCCCAAGCGACUGUUUAUCAAAAACACAGGUCUCUGCUAAACCGUAAGGUGAUGUAUAGGGGCUGACGCCUGCCCGGUGCUGGAAGGUUAAGAGGAGUGGUUAGCUUCUGCGAAGCUACGAAUCGAAGCCCCAGUAAACGGCGGCCGUAACUAUAACGGUCCUAAGGUAGCGAAAUUCCUUGUCGGGUAAGUUCCGACCCGCACGAAAGGCGUAACGAUUUGGGCACUGUCUCAACGAGAGACUCGGUGAAAUCAUAGUACCUGUGAAGAUGCAGGUUACCCGCGACAGGACGGAAAGACCCCGUGGAGCUUUACUGUAGCCUGAUAUUGAAAUUCGGCACAGCUUGUACAGGAUAGGUAGGAGCCUUUGAAACGUGAGCGCUAGCUUACGUGGAGGCGCUGGUGGGAUACUACCCUAGCUGUGUUGGCUUUCUAACCCGCACCACUUAUCGUGGUGGGAGACAGUGUCAGGCGGGCAGUUUGACUGGGGCGGUCGCCUCCUAAAAGGUAACGGAGGCGCUCAAAGGUUCCCUCAGAAUGGUUGGAAAUCAUUCAUAGAGUGUAAAGGCAUAAGGGAGCUUGACUGCGAGACCUACAAGUCGAGCAGGGUCGAAAGACGGACUUAGUGAUCCGGUGGUUCCGCAUGGAAGGGCCAUCGCUCAACGGAUAAAAGCUACCCCGGGGAUAACAGGCUUAUCUCCCCCAAGAGUUCACAUCGACGGGGAGGUUUGGCACCUCGAUGUCGGCUCAUCGCAUCCUGGGGCUGUAGUCGGUCCCAAGGGUUGGGCUGUUCGCCCAUUAAAGCGGUACGCGAGCUGGGUUCAGAACGUCGUGAGACAGUUCGGUCCCUAUCCGUCGUGGGCGUAGGAAAUUUGAGAGGAGCUGUCCUUAGUACGAGAGGACCGGGAUGGACAUACCUCUGGUGUACCAGUUGUCGUGCCAACGGCAUAGCUGGGUAGCUAUGUGUGGACGGGAUAAGUGCUGAAAGCAUCUAAGCAUGAAGCCCCCCUCAAGAUGAGAUUUCCCAACUUCGGUUAUAAGAUCCCUCAAAGAUGAUGAGGUUAAUAGGUUCGAGGUGGAAGCAUGGUGACAUGUGGAGCUGACGAAUACUAA
RNAcentral lists this ribosomal RNA (1562 nucleotides) under Staphylococcus aureus. RNAcentral's name for it is "partial 23S ribosomal RNA". It matches the Rfam family "Bacterial large subunit ribosomal RNA", at positions 1345 to 2904 of the family's 2925-position model. The record is from RNAcentral. Lineage: Bacteria; Bacillati; Bacillota; Bacilli; Caryophanales; Staphylococcaceae.